GGCCCCAUCGUCUAUCGGCUAGGACACUAGGUUCUCAUCCUAGUAAGCGGGGUUCGAUUCCCCGUGGGGUCA
RNAcentral lists this transfer RNA (72 nucleotides) under Patescibacteria group bacterium. RNAcentral's name for it is "tRNA-Glu". It matches the Rfam family "tRNA". From Rfam's summary of the family: Transfer RNA (tRNA) molecules are approximately 80 nucleotides in length. Their secondary structure includes four short double-helical elements and three loops (D, anti-codon, and T loops). Further hydrogen bonds mediate the characteristic L-shaped molecular structure. tRNAs have two regions of fundamental functional importance: the anti-codon, which is responsible for specific mRNA codon recognition, and the 3' end, to which the tRNAs corresponding amino acid is attached (by aminoacyl-tRNA synthetases). tRNAs cope with the degeneracy of the genetic code in two manners: having more than one tRNA (with a specific anti-codon) for a particular amino acid; and 'wobble' base-pairing, i.e. permitting non-standard base-pairing at the 3rd anti-codon position. The record is from RNAcentral.